GCGGACGCCCCAACCCCGUGGCCCCCUCGAACCCCACGUGCUUCCUAAAAACACUUAGAACCGUUCCAAUACCUUUAGUACCACGCUCGGCUCAGGCCCAUCCUCAGCUCAGAGCGCGGUAGCACUGUCCUCCCGCCCAGGAGGUUUAAGGCCUGGCUAAACUCCGCCCCCCACCGCCCUGGCCAAUCAGGAGCCACGUCCUCCGGCGCGCUCCUUUCCCGCCCCGCCUCCCGUCUCCAUGGGAACGAUCUGAGCGUCUACUCCGCGUCCUGGGGCGUCGGUUUCGGUCCCGCCCGGCUGCGGCCGUUGUUUGCUGGGACAGUCCUUGGGCCGGUCUCCGUCCCUGUCCAGAGGCUCCGUACGUGAGGCGGACUCUCGGGAGCACCGAGCCGGGCGCGGAUAAGGGCGAGGACAGCUGUUGCAGGAACGGGGGCAGAAAAGGAGGACCAGGGGCCGAGAAGCCGCUCUGGCUACGAAAUCUCAGACACCGUUGUAAAUGGGUCCUUCACAGCCGCCCGCCCCACGUUAAAACUGAAGAAGAGGUGCAAGGAGGCGGAAGCAGCUUGGGCCUCGGGACCGAGGGUCCUGUGAUCAGCAAGGGAGGACCAGAGAGGCUCAUGCCUCCGUUUUACAGCUCAGCCUUCUCGACCCUCCACCCUUCCCCAAAAAAGGAGCACAAAGGAGCAAGCAGGGGUCACGCCUUUCCUCACAGUCUGACCCGGUUACGUGAGGCAGCCCGAGGUAACCAGAUCCACGUCUACGAAGAGGAGAAAUAGAACCUACCGUGGCGGGUUGUUAAGAAGAUUCGCUAAGUUCAUUCAUUUGAAAAACUCAUCACAGAGCUUGACAAACAGGCCUAACCAUUGGCUGCGAUUAUGUUAUCAUCACAGGGAGCAAGAACCUUGGCCGCCGUCUCGGUUUCCCGAAUACUUACUGGUCUCUAGUUUUAUGUGACUUUUAAGAUCUGUGUGGGCAUUUUUUAUAUUGGCAUUUGUACAUCACUAGGAAUUUGUCCUUUUAUGUAGAGGUUCACAUGUAUUUGCAUAUAGUUCAUAAUACC
This 1060-nucleotide long non-coding RNA is filed under the name Sus scrofa (pig). RNAcentral's name for it is "lncRNA (ENSSSCG00015049649.1)". Lineage: Eukaryota; Metazoa; Chordata; Mammalia; Artiodactyla; Suidae. The record is from RNAcentral.